RNAcentral lists this ribosomal RNA (253 nucleotides) under uncultured bacterium. Its description in RNAcentral is "partial 16S ribosomal RNA". It matches the Rfam family "Bacterial small subunit ribosomal RNA", at positions 524 to 776 of the family's 1533-position model. The record is from RNAcentral.
UACGUAGUGGGCAAGCGUUGUCCGGAAUUAUUGGGCGUAAAGAGCGUGUAGGCGGCCAGAUAAGUCCGCUGUGAAAUCUCGAGGCUCAACUUCGAGCUGUCGGUGGAAACUAUCUGGCUAGAGUCCGGAAGAGGAGAAUGGAAUUCCUGGUGUAGCGGUGAAAUGCGCAGAUAUCAGGAAGAACACCCGUGGCGAAGGCGGUUCUCUGGGACGGUACUGACGCUGAGACGCGAAAGCGUGGGGAGCGAACAGG